ACAGUUCAGUUUUAGCCGAAAGACAACAAGGACCCUAUUCUUGCUAUCUACACACUUUAUUCUCUACUUCCACUCCGGCGCAACACUCCAUGUUCUGUCAAAAAAAUCCCUGGAAACAGUGAGAAAAGACACCACUUUUACUUUCCCCGCUCCACUGUAUAAACAACCUCAACAACACGCUCGCAGAAGCUGCUGUCGUCUUCUCCUCCUGUUUUCUUUUUCCUCACUCACUUGCUUUCCUUUUCACUCCUCACUUUUUCAAUAAUCACAACUUUGCCACUGUACAUUUCUUCCUUCUUCUCUCUAAUUAGGGAUUUUAAUCACUGUGAUCGCGUGCGAGAUAGAGAGUAGUAGUGUUAUGGUGAUGGCGGAAAAUGAGAGUGGAGAUGAUCAAAAUAGUAGUGCGGUCGGACCGAAGUCGCCGUGGAAGUCUCCGGUGGUCGCUGAUGCUCCGGUGAUGGGCGCCGCCGAGUUUUGGCCUGCUCUUUCUGAUGCUCAACAACAACAGCAACAACAUCGGUCGAAGCUGACUGAUUCUGCUUCUAAGACGCCGCCGCAGCUGCCAUUGAUGGUUGCUGGCGGUGGUGAUAAGGCUGCGCCACCGGCAGCUUCACCUCGGGGAUCAGCUGGGCAGCAUAAAUCACAUGGAUCUGGAUAUACAAAUACAUCAAAUAAACAUGCAUCGUCAAGACAUAAAAAAUCAGGAUCUAAGCGCAAUCCUAAUGGGGCACCUCCUUUCUCCAUGCCAUUCCCUUACCAACAACCAGCCAUGUCACCAGUUUUCCCAGCUAUGGCACCUCCCCCACACUUUUCUGUUUCUGGCUAUCCAUAUCAACCUGGCCCUGCAUCUUUUCCCACAGUUGAAACUCAUUUGAUAAAGUCUGGAUCAGAGACGGGACCCCCUAUGCAACCUUUCGCUCCAUCUAUAAAUGUCCAGCCUCCACCCAGAGGGGAUCCCAAUGCUUAUGCUGUUAACUUUCCAAAUCGAAGACCUAACAUGCAAGACUCUGGUGGCCAUUUGAAUCCAACAUGGCAUCAUCAACGGGCAUUUGGGUCCAGAGAUAACAUCCCGCUGCAACAGGUUAUGGGACCAAGGCCAUUGGUAAGGCCACCUUUUUUGGCCGCACCUCCAGGGUACAUGAUUGGUCCAACAUUCCCUGGACCACCACCUAUAUGCUACGUAUCAGUUGCACCUCCAGGCUCUCUUAGGGGACCUCAACCUUCCUGUUUUGUUCCAUAUCCAAUUAAUUCAGGGGCUUCUGUGCUUCCCCAAGAGACAAUAGCUUUGAGGGCUAGCAUUGCAGGACAAAUAGAGUAUUAUUUCAGCGAUGAAAAUCUCAAGAAUGACCAUUAUCUAAUAUCCUUAAUGGAUGAUCAAGGAUGGGUUCCGGUAUCCACGAUUGCUGAAUUUAAAAGGGUUAAGAAAAUGACUGUGGACAUAUCUUUUAUCCUUGAUGCGCUGAAGUGUUCUGGCUCUAUAGAAGUGAAGGGUGACAAGGUUCGGAAACGAGAUAAUUGGUCAAAGUGGAUUCCAGCAUCUUCUCAGCAGGCAGUGUCACUGAAAGCUCAGGCUUCUGAGGGCCAAGCUGGAGAGAAUGCUGAGGAAGAUGACACAAUCAGUGUCUCCAAAGGAAGUGCUGGAUUUGCCAAAACAUUAAUGCUUGAUGAAGAGCUGGAGCUUGGGCAGAAAACACUCAAGAAUGAUGAAUGUUCUCCAGUUAGAAGAGUCGAAAACAGAGAAGAAGAAGUAAGAGGGAAGAGCUGAGAUUGCUAAAGAUGUGAUGAAAAUUUUGGUGAAUGUGUUGAUCAAGUCCAGGAACUGACAUUAACAACAGAAAGUAGGAACUGUGAGGAAAUUGUCCGCUUGGGAUUGCAGUGGUUCAUUAACGAUGCAUCGGCACACCCAGAAAAGAAGUGUGGAAACCAGGAUUAUAGCAACUGAGAUUAAGAUACCAAACAUCACGUCCAUCUUUGCUGUUCAGUCUUCAAGCUGGAGUUUCUGCUUGCGAAGUAUCAAAAAAAGAAAAAAAAGGAGCUUGUUAGCUAAAUAGAUGGUAGAAAAAAGAGAAAACACUUGACAAAAACAAAGCUGUGUUUCUUUCAUGAAUAAAGAUUUAAGAGUUAAAAGAAGAAGAACUACAAGCUAGAUGAGCUGAGCUGAAAUAUUGGCAGCCAAAAGAGCAGACAAAAUCUACCUUUAACAAUCCUGUAGAUGAUUUAGACUUCAUCAACAAUGUAAAAUGUUUUCAAGAGAGUCCAACCUUCAAAGCUAUAUUUAUACUUAACCAGGUUCAUAGACCGGUAUUAUA
RNA transcript from Populus euphratica (Euphrates poplar), 2309 nucleotides. It is a transcript of the gene named la-related protein 1A-like, with no coding region annotated. The record is from RefSeq and is a predicted model, not a curated record. The transcript is spliced from 8 exons. NCBI's taxonomy places the organism in Eukaryota, Viridiplantae, Streptophyta, Magnoliopsida, Malpighiales, Salicaceae.